ACUUUUAAAGGAUGGCAGCUAUCCGUUGACCUUAGGAGUCAAAAACAUUGGUGCAACUCCAAAUAAAAGUA
This 71-nucleotide transfer RNA is filed under the name Macaca tonkeana (Tonkean macaque). RNAcentral's name for it is "tRNA-Leu". It matches the Rfam family "tRNA". From Rfam's summary of the family: Transfer RNA (tRNA) molecules are approximately 80 nucleotides in length. Their secondary structure includes four short double-helical elements and three loops (D, anti-codon, and T loops). Further hydrogen bonds mediate the characteristic L-shaped molecular structure. tRNAs have two regions of fundamental functional importance: the anti-codon, which is responsible for specific mRNA codon recognition, and the 3' end, to which the tRNAs corresponding amino acid is attached (by aminoacyl-tRNA synthetases). tRNAs cope with the degeneracy of the genetic code in two manners: having more than one tRNA (with a specific anti-codon) for a particular amino acid; and 'wobble' base-pairing, i.e. permitting non-standard base-pairing at the 3rd anti-codon position. Lineage: Eukaryota; Metazoa; Chordata; Mammalia; Primates; Cercopithecidae. RNAcentral also lists the same sequence under 1 other name. The record is from RNAcentral.